GUGCGUGUAGCUCAGUGGGAGAGCACCACCUUGACACGGUGGGGGUCGUAGGUUCAAUCCCUACCACGCACACCA
RNAcentral lists this transfer RNA (75 nucleotides) under bacterium. RNAcentral's name for it is "tRNA-Val". It matches the Rfam family "tRNA". From Rfam's summary of the family: Transfer RNA (tRNA) molecules are approximately 80 nucleotides in length. Their secondary structure includes four short double-helical elements and three loops (D, anti-codon, and T loops). The record is from RNAcentral. RNAcentral also lists the same sequence under 6 other names.